UACGGGGGGAGCAAGCGUUGUUCGGAAUUACUGGGCGUAAAGGGCGCGUAGGCGGUCGUGACAAGUCACUUGUGAAAUCUCCGGGCUUAACUCGGAACGGUCAAGUGAUACUGUCGGACUAGAGUACAGAAGGGGCAACUGGAAUUCUCGGUGUAGCGGUGAAAUGCGUAGAUAUCGAGAGGAACACCUGCGGCGAAGGCGGGUUGCUGGGCUGAUACUGACGCUGAGGCGCGAAAGCCAGGGAGCGAACGGG
Molecule: ribosomal RNA, 253 nt
Filed under: uncultured bacterium
Lineage: Bacteria
Description: partial 16S ribosomal RNA
Rfam family: Bacterial small subunit ribosomal RNA
Source: RNAcentral